GCAUAUCAAUAAGCGGAGGAAAAGAAACCAACAGGGAUUGCCCUAGUAACGGCGAAGUGAAGCGGCAACAGCUCAAAUUUGAAAUCUGGCCUCUUUUGGGGUCCGAGUUGUAAUUUGCAGAGGGCGCUUUGGAGUCGGCAGCGGUCCAAGUUCCUUGGAACAGGACGUCACAGAGGGUGAGAAUCCCGUACGUGGUCGCUAGCCUUCGCCGUGUAAAGCCCCUUCGACGAGUCGAGUUGUUUGGGAAUGCAGCUCUAAAUGGGAGGUAAAUUUCUUCUAAAGCUAAAUACUGGCCAGAGACCGAUAGCGCACAAGUAGAGUGAUCGAAAGAUGAAAAGCACUUUGGAAAGAGAGUCAAAAAGCACGUGAAAUUGUUGAAAGGGAAGCGCUUGCAGCCAGACUUGCCUGUAGUUGCUCAUCCGGGCUUUUGCCCGGUGCACUCUUCUAUAGGCAGGCCAGCAUCAGUUUGGGCGGUUGGAUAAAGGUCUCUGUCAUGUACCUCUCUUCGGGGAGGACUUAUAGGGGAGGCGACAUGCAACCAGCUCAGACUGAGGUCCGCGCAUUUGCUAGGAUGCUGGCGUAAUGGCUGUAAGCGGCCCGUCUUGAAACACGGACCAAGGAGUCUAACAUCUAUGCGAGUGUUUGGGUGUCAAGCCCGAGCGCGCAAUGAAAGUGAACGGAGGUGGGAACCCCUCGGGGCGCACCAUCGACCGAUCCUGAUGUCUUCGGAUGGAUUUGAGUAAGAGCAUAGCUGUUGGGACCCGAAAGAUGGUGAACUAUGCUUGAAUAGGGUGAAGCCAGAGGAAACUCUGGUGGAGGCUCGCAGCGGUUCUGACGUGCAAAUCGAUCGUCAAAUUUGGGCAUAGGGGCGAAAGACUAAUCGAACUAUCUAGUAGCUGGGUUCCUGCCG
This 910-nucleotide ribosomal RNA is filed under the name Pleiochaeta setosa. RNAcentral describes it as "LSU rRNA". It matches the Rfam family "Eukaryotic large subunit ribosomal RNA", at positions 38 to 963 of the family's 3401-position model. Lineage: Eukaryota; Fungi; Ascomycota; Dothideomycetes; Pleosporales. The record is from RNAcentral.